AAUCUGUGGUACGACCAUUUUUUAAUCAAUGUUUUGAAGUGCUCUCAUGCCUCAUGGAAACUUUCCCCUUCCAUCUGUCUAAGGACAGCAAUCUCUCUUCUAAGUUA
RNAcentral lists this small nucleolar RNA (107 nucleotides) under Gossypium hirsutum (cotton). RNAcentral's name for it is "Plant small nucleolar RNA R71". It matches the Rfam family "Plant small nucleolar RNA R71". Rfam says of the family: R71 is a member of the C/D box family of snoRNAs containing the C (UGAUGA) and D (CUGA) box motifs. Multiple nearly identical copies of this snoRNA have been identified in Arabidopsis, and it is thought to function as a 2'-O-ribose methylation guide for 18S ribosomal RNA. The record is from Rfam by way of RNAcentral. Lineage: Eukaryota; Viridiplantae; Streptophyta; Magnoliopsida; Malvales; Malvaceae.